Small nuclear RNA from Cynocephalus volans (Philippine flying lemur), 107 nucleotides. The record is from RefSeq and is a predicted model, not a curated record. Lineage: Eukaryota; Metazoa; Chordata; Mammalia; Dermoptera; Cynocephalidae.
GCACUCACUUUGGCAGCACAUAUACUAAAAUUUGAAUGAUACAGAGAAGAUUAGCAUGGCCCCUAUGUAAGAAUGACAUGCAAAUUUGUGAAGUGUCCCAUAUUUUU